This 498-nucleotide ribosomal RNA is filed under the name uncultured bacterium. RNAcentral describes it as "partial 16S ribosomal RNA". It matches the Rfam family "Bacterial small subunit ribosomal RNA", at positions 22 to 521 of the family's 1533-position model. The record is from RNAcentral.
GCUCAGAGUGAAUGCUAGUGAUAGGCCUUAACACAUGCAAGUCUAAUGGUUCUUCUAAAUGAAGAAAGCAUGGCGCAGAGGUGAGUAAAUUGUAGGAUAAUUAUCUGUCAAACAGGUUAAUUUGUGAUACCUGAAUAAAGAAAAAAAACUGGAGUGAAAUCCUUUGAGAAAAAGGAAGACUUAAGUGUCUUUUUCAUAUAAAGAUUGUUAUCGAUGAUGGAUGUGCCUAUGUAAGAUUGAAGGUAGUUGGUGGAGUAAUGGUUUACCAAGCCGUAUCUUUAGUUGAUCUGGGAGGAUGGUGAGCCACAUUGGGAUAGAAACAGGGGCCCAACUUUCUACUAAGUAGCAGCAGUGGGGAAUCUUGGACACUAAGCUAACGCUUGAUCCAGCAAUGUCACGUGAAGGAUGAAGGUUAAUUAUCGUAAACUUUUGCUCAUUAUUAGAAUAACGAUCUUUUAAUGUAGAAGCUCCGACUAACUUCGUGCCAGCAGUCGCGGU